This 29-nucleotide transfer RNA is filed under the name Chamaecrista nictitans var. pilosa. RNAcentral's name for it is "partial tRNA-Thr". The record is from RNAcentral. Lineage: Eukaryota; Viridiplantae; Streptophyta; Magnoliopsida; Fabales; Fabaceae.
GCCUUUUACUCAGUGUUAGAGUACGCCAU